UACGGAAGGGGCAAGCGUUGUUCGGAAUCAUUGGGCGUAAAGGGCGCGUAGGUGGUUCUGUAUGUCUAUCGUGAAAGCAUACAGCUCAACUGUAUUUUGUCGGUAGAAACUGCAGGACUUGAGGCUGGGAGGGGCUGGUGGAAUUCCCUGUGUAGCGGUGAAAUGCGCAGAUAUCAGGAGGAACACCGGUGGCGAAGGCGGGUCUCUGGGCCGAUACUGACGCUGAGGAGCGAAAGCGUGGGGAGCGAACAGG
RNAcentral lists this ribosomal RNA (253 nucleotides) under uncultured bacterium. RNAcentral's name for it is "partial 16S ribosomal RNA". It matches the Rfam family "Bacterial small subunit ribosomal RNA", at positions 524 to 776 of the family's 1533-position model. The record is from RNAcentral.